Molecule: ribosomal RNA, 253 nt
Filed under: uncultured bacterium
Lineage: Bacteria
Description: partial 16S ribosomal RNA
Rfam family: Bacterial small subunit ribosomal RNA
Source: RNAcentral
UACAGAGGUCUCAAGCGUUGUUCGGAUUCAUUGGGCGUAAAGGGUGUGUAGGUGGCGCCGUAAGUCGGGUGUGAAAUUUCGGAGCUUAACUCCGAAACUGCAUUCGAUACUGCGGUGCUUGAGGACUGGAGAGGAGACUGGAAUUCACGGUGUAGCAGUGAAAUGCGUAGAUAUCGUGAGGAAGACCAGUGGCGAAGGCGGGUCUCUGGACAGUUCCUGACACUGAGGCACGAAGGCCAGGGGAGCAAACGGG